Molecule: ribosomal RNA, 494 nt
Filed under: Paratelmatobius poecilogaster (San Andre rapids frog)
Lineage: Eukaryota; Metazoa; Chordata; Amphibia; Anura; Leptodactylidae
Description: partial small subunit ribosomal RNA
Rfam family: Bacterial small subunit ribosomal RNA
Source: RNAcentral
GCCCCGCCGUAAACUUUUAAUUACACCCCCAUCGCCCGGGAACUACGAGCCAAGCUUAAAACCCAAAGGACUUGACGGUACCCCACAUCCACCUAGAGGAGCCUGUUCUACAAUCGAUAACCCCCGUUUAACCUCACCAUUUUUAGCCAAUCAGUCUGUAUACCUCCGUCGUCAGCUUACCACGUGAGCGACCCAUAAGUGAGCUCAAUGCCCAUACGCCAACACGUCAGGUCAAGGUGCAGCAAAUAAAAUGGAAAGAAAUGGGCUACACUUUCUAAAAUAGAAAACACGAAAGACUAUCUAUGAAAUCCUAGUCAGAAGGCGGAUUUAGUAGUAAAAAGAGAUCAGAGAGCUCUUUUUAACCCGGCACUGGGGUGUGUACACACCGCCCGUCACCCUCUUCGAAGCUCACAGACAGUUAUUAACUAGACCACCGCCAUAUAGAAGAGGCAAGUCGUAACAUGGUAAGUAUACCGGAAGGUGUGCUUGGUAAA